GCAGACCCUCCCCUCUCCCCUCCAGCCUGGACACGCCCGCCUCCCCUUGACUCCCCCCAGCUCUGGGCCCCCACCUCCCCUCCCCUCCAGCACAGUCACCCCCAUUUCUCUCCUAUCCGCCAUCCUGGUUCCUCCCUUCCCCCCACCUCCCAACUCUGUGCCCCGCCAACGUUUCCUAAAUGCCCUCUAUUCAGAUCCCCCCUCCGCCUCCCCUCUCCUCUCCUCCAUUCCUGCGUCCCCCUUCCCCCGCCGCGCCGCCUGGGCUGUCCGUGGACUUCUCCCACUCUCUCACUCUCUCACUCACUCUCUCUCUCUCUCUCUCUCUCUCACUCUCUCUCUCUCUCUCCCCCUCAUUUAUUUGGAACCGUUGGAUAAGAAGUGCUCGGGCUCUCGCUCAGACUUAGGGAGCUGCCUCGAGGUGAUGAAUGACACCCCCUGGCACCAGCUACCCUUCUCAGACCCCAGUCCAGCCCGCUCCCGACGUCGACUACGAUUCCGCUACCUCGGCUGGCAGCGAGGUUGGGGUGAGCCCCAGCUGCAGGCGCGUCUGGGCUGCGCCGCUGCAAACGAGUUGCGCACCUUGGGCGGCUCCGCACCUGCACCCGCACCCGCGGGGCUCAGCCCCGAAGGCUGCAGCUUCGGGGGAGGCGCGGUCGCCGAGGUCCAGCUGGUGGGGCGAGAGACGUCGCCCCUCGGAGGAUGCUCUCGGAACUUGGGAGAGGAAGGAGGGAAGAGAAGAGGGGAAAGGGGCCGUCGAUGUUUUUGAUGUCUGUGCUUUAAUGGAGGCCACCAAUAUUGAGAAGACGGGGUUGGCCGAGGCAGCCCGCACGCUGCUGCUUGCGAGCGCUCGAGUCAAAGCUAGGGCCAACCGCGGCUUGUCCGGGUGCCCUAAGGGGGCGGACACUUGGUUUAGCACCGGGACACAGAAUAGCCACCGGGGUAGGAAGAUGCGUUCACUUUGCUUACCUGUUGGCAAGAGGGACAUACAAAAAUAACGUAACGUGACAUCGUUGACAACGGUAGCUCUUUGAUUACACAAAAGCCAAUUUUACCUUCCCGCAAAAGCCAGUUGACGCCUUUGGAACUUUUAUUUGCGGCAUUUUGGCGCCCUCUGGCUGUGUUUGGAUCGCUUUCAUGCUCGCCUGCGUCCCAGCCAAGAAAAAAUCGAUGGAGCUGCAGGUUGUCCUCAGGAUGGUUCUGCCCUCAGGACCUGGGCGUGAAUUCAGGGACAGGGUGGCCCUCCAGAACCGGAGUGACAAACUGUAACCAUACUUAGGGAGGCAGACGUCAAAGGCAAGUACAUCUGUAUUCAACUGGGUAAAGGUAAGUGCAUUUUCACUUAACAGGAAAAUUAACUUAUCGUAACUUUAACGUACAUAUUUGAAUUAAGCAAAGUGGCAAUAUUUACUCAACUGCACUAGCGAUUUUGCAGUGGAAACACUUGACGACCCUACUGUACACAUUUACAGGUCAUAGGAGGCAGCACCAAAUUAGAUUAAUGCAUGCCAGCUGGAAAUGUUCAAAUUUAAACCAAAGGAAGAGUUUUUCAGCCUGGCGUGGUGGCUCACACCUGUAAUCCCAGCACUUUGGGAGGCCAAGCCAUGUGAAGACGUGCCUGCCUCCCUGUUACCUUCCACCAUGAUUGUAAGCUUCCUGAGGCCUCCCCAGCCAUGCCUGCUGUAUAGCCUGCAGAACAGAUUAAUGAAAAUAAAACGCAGACCUUAUAAGCAGACGCUGUGAUUUUGUAAUAAAGAGGGGCAGCUUUUACAGGAAAAAGAACCCGAGGGAAGCUGUUGGCAGUCUGUGAAACGACGGUCAUGGUGGAAUUCGUUUUUCUGCACAUUAGAUGUUUAAAACAGCUGGUUUUCGUUGUUGUUGUUGUUGUUGUUUUCCUGAAAGAAUCUUGUUCCCCACAAUAUGUUCUUGGUAUUCAAAAUGGCUUUUGCUCCUACUUUUUGGAAAAUGCACUUCAGUUUCCAAUUUAUUCAUUUGUUAGUGGGUUCAUCAAUUAGUUUAUUCAUCAAUUAGUUCAUCCAUUGUGGAAGACAGUGUGGCGAUUCCUCAAGGAUCUAGAACCAAAAAUACCAUUUGACCCAGCAGUCCCAUUACUGGGCUUAUUGAAGUCUCCUAAUGUGAAUUUCUACUCCUGGACAUAAUACCUUCUUCUCAGAAAUAAGACAGAGUUUUCCCCUGCACUUCUUUAUAUGCUUUUUUCUCUGACUUUUGCCAUGUGGUUUUGUUUCUCCCAUGGCUUGAAAGAGCAGGAAAACUGAAGGUACCAACUGAAAGUGCUGCUUCCUGCUUUUGGUUUUCCUUCAUUUUAUUUCAUUUUUCAAGCUGAGUCUCACUCUGUUGCCCAGGCUGAAAUGCAGCUCAACCAUCACGGCUCACAGCAGCCUUGACCUCCUGAGCUCAAGCAGUCCUCCUUCCUCAGCCUCCCGAGUAGCUAGGACCAUAGGUGUGCACCGCCACCCUUAGCUUUUUUUUUUUUUUUUUUUUUGUAGAGACAGAGUCUCCCUAUGUUUCCCAGACUCGGUGUUUUUCAAAUAUUUGAAAAUGUAAAAGCCAUUCUUAGCCCACAGGCUGUACAAAAACAGAUGGAGGGCCAGAUUUAACCCAUGGGCAGUGGUUGGCCAAACCCUUGUGUAUCCCAUGCCAUGCCCUACUAUUCCAGACUUAAAAGUUAUAAUUUUAGGAUAAACUUGUUAUAUUUUUGUCAUGUCAGAAGACUGAGUGUAUACAUUUUCUUUUUUUUUUUUUUGACGGAGUUUUGCUCUGUCCCCCAGGCUGGAGUGCAGUGGGGUGAUCUCGGCUCACUACAACCUCUGUCUUCCGAGUUCAAGUGAUUCUCCUGUCUCAGUCUCCUGAGUAGCUGGGAUUACAGGCUCAUGCCACCAUGCCCAGCUAAUUUUUGUAUUUUUAGUAGAAACGGGGUUUUGCCAUGUUGGCCAGGCUGGUCUCGAACUCCUGACCUCAGGUGAUCCACCUGCCUAGGCCUCCCAAAGUGCUGGAAUUACAGGCGUGAGCCACUGCACCUGGCCUGAGCAUAUACAUUUUCAUAGGCAAAAACAUACCUUGGAAAUACUUCUCAGGAAUGUGCACAUAUGAAUUACAAAAUGUAAAAAGCUUCAACUCCAUUAUGAACUGUAAAUGCAUGUGGCAGGAGGCGAUCCUCAUAGAAGCUGUCAGGGCGUGACUUCAUUCUAGAUGCUGUAAGUAGCAAUAAUAAAAGAGGAAGCAAACACGUGCAGCUUCUGGAAUUCAGACCCUGGAGGAAGGAGACAGGUGGCCUUGAGUGAGGAUAUGAGGAACACAGUCAAGGAGAAAAUGCAGCUGGUGAAUUAUAAACAUCCAUGGGCAGACAUAGAAAGUUAGGAACCCCAGCCCUCUAAUGGAACCAAGAAACCAGAGGCCAGUAGGAAACGGCUCCAGGAAGAGCGAAACUUGAUAAAUGUCCUAGACGUCAGUGAGAAAGAUCCGUUUGUUUUGUUUACACUGAAAAUUUUUAAAUUGCAUGACUAUUUAGAGCACUUUUACAUUUUUUGCCUAGAAUUAGAUCCAAAGAAUAAAUGACCUAUUGAGCCUGAAGGGAUUUUAGGAAAAAAUAACUUUUUUAAAAAAAUAUGUUUUUUUGUUUUUUGUGUUUUUUUUUUGAGACAGAGUCUCGCUCUGUCACCCAGGCCGGAGUGCAGUGGUGCUAUCUUGGCUCACUGCAAGCUCUGCCUCCCGGGUUCACGCCAUUCUCCUGCCACAGCCUCCCAAGUAGCUGGGACUACAGGCAUCUGCCACCACCCCCGGUUAAUUUUUUUUUUUUUUGUAUUUUUAGUAAAGACGGGGUUUCACCGGGUUGCCCAAGAUGGUCUCGAUUUCCUGACCUCAUGAUCUGCCAGCCUUGGCCUCUCAAAAUGCUGGGAUUACAGGUGUGAGCCACCAUGCCUGGCCUAAAAAAUAUAUAUUUUUUAAAAAAUAAAGACAAGGGUCUCACUAUGUUGCCCAGCUUGGUCUUGAAAUCUUGGGCUCAAGUGAUCCUCCUGCCUUGGCCUCCCAAAGUGCUAGGAUUACAGACAUGAGCCACUGCACCAGGCCAAGAAAAAGUAUCUUAAUGACAUAUUUUCAUUUGUGUUUUUCUUCAGCCCUCUGGAUGCCAGCUCUCCUUCCCACUUGGCAGCUCCCUGCAGCAGUUUCUCGUUAUGAUUUUUGGGAGCUUGUUACAGAUGUGAAAUCCUCCUCUUUAAUUUAAGUCUAUGUCCACUAAUUUGGUCCUCCACAAAACUGAUGAAAAACUAGUGCACAUUCCCCACAUUAAAACUUGUCAUUUACCUAAAGAUUGUCAUUAAACCCCCUCAGUCUACUUUUCUCCUGACCAAACACCCCCAAACCCUUGAACCUUUUCUUAUAGAACCAACCGUCAUCGUUUAAAACAUUUGUGUGCCUCCUAUUUCUUUACAAUAUUUUUUAACAGCGGAAACAAACCCCCAAAAUGCAUUUUCUAGUGAGGCUUGGACUAAGGUGGAUUAGAGAAAGAAUACACAAAGGAGAAUGAUUUCCUAAACUGCGCCCGUUAUACUUCCGACAUCUCAGUACCAUGCUGGCUUUUUCCCACAGAAUUGCUAUAUUUCUGAGGAGUAUUCAUUUAGUAAACCGAGUUCUCUGCACCCAGGUCAUUUUGCCACUAAACUUGUAAUAAUCUCAGCAACAACAGUAAUAGCAGCAUCUAACUGUUGCCCUGUGUUAAUGGCUGACAGCCGCCCUCUGCGGUUAGUCUACCAUCAUCUGCAAUUUAUAGCAGAGGAUCCAGGCUUGGAGAGGUUCAGGAACUGGCCUGAGAUGAUCCUGGCUGUGAAUGGUGAAGACUGGGUUCUAAUCUACAACUGGAUCCCUGGAUUCUCACUCUUGAGUGCCAUGCUGUGUACUUCUCAGUGUCGAUCUGUGGAUUGAAAUUAACAGUAUCUGCCGGGCGCAGUGGCUCAGGCCUGUAAUCCGAGCACUUUGGGAGGCCGAGGUGGGCGGAUCAUGAGGUCAGGAGUUCGAGACCAGCCUGGCCAACAUAGUGAAACCCCAUCUCUACUAAAAAUACAAAAAAUUAUCCAGAUGUGGUGGUGUAUGACUUACCCCAGCUACUCGGGAGGCUGAGGCAGGAGCAUCGCGUGAACCCGGGAGACGGAAGUUGCAGUGAGCCAAGAUUGCGCCACUGCACUCCAGCCCAGGCAACAGAGCGAGACUCCAUCUCAAAAAAAAAAAAAAAAAGGAAAGAAAUUAACAGUAUCUGUAUUAGUCAUCUCAGGCUGCUGUAAUAAAAAUACCAUAGACUGGGUGACUUAAACAACGACAUUUAUUUCUUACUGUUCUGAAGGCUGGGAAGUCUAAGAUCAAGGCACUGGCAGGUCUAGAGUCUGGCGAGGGCUCUCUUCUGGUUUGUAGACAGCACACUGGUAUCUUCACUGAGAAGAGCACUAAUCCCAUGAUGAGGGCUCCCCCCUCAUGACCUCAUGUAACCCUAACCACCUUCCAAAGUUCCUAUCACAAUGGGGAUUAGGGUUUCAACAUAUGAAUUGGGGUCAAGAAGGGAGGACACAAACAUGCAGUCUGUAACACUACCUCUUUUCAUACUUAAAAAAAAAAUGCGGGUUUUUGUUUGUUUAACACUCUUUUUUUUUUUUUUUUGGGGGGGUGAUGGAGUCUCGCUCUGUCACCCAGGCUGGAGUGCAGUGGCGCGAUCUCGGCUCACUGCAAGCUCCGCCUCCCGGGUUCGCGCCAUUCUCCUGCCUCAGCGUCCCGAGUAGCUGGGACUACAAGCCCCCACCACCACGCCUGGCUAAUAUUUUGUAUUUUUAGUAGAGACGGGCCCACGCCCACCCGGAACUCCCGCUGGCCCGCAAGCGCCGCACGCAGCCCCGGUUCCCGCUCGUGCCUCUCCCUCCACACCUCCAUGCAAGCUGAGGGAGUGGGCUCCGGCCUUGGCCAGCCCAGAAAGGGGCUCCCACAGUGCAGUGGGGGGCUGAAGGGCUCCUCAAAUGCCACCAAAGUGGGAGCCCAGGCAGGAGAGGUGCCAAGAGCAAGCGAGGGCUCUGAGGACUGCCAGCAUGCUGUCACCUCUCAGUUUCACCGUGUUAGCCAGGAUGGUCUCGAUCUCCUGACCUCAUGAUCUGCCCGCCUCAGCCUCCCAAAGUGCUGGGAUUACAGGCGUGAGCCACCGUGCCCGGCCUUAACACUCUAUUUUUUUUUUUUUUUUUUUUUGAGACGUAAUUUUGCUUUUGUUGCCCAGGCUGGAGUGCAAUGGCGCGAUUUCGGCUCACUGCAACCUCCAUCUCCCGGGUUCAAGCAAUUCUCCUGCCUCAGCCUCCCAAGUAUCUGGGAUUACAGGCAUGCGCCACCACACUUGGCUAAUUUUGUAUUUUUAAUAGAGAUGGGGUUUCUCCAUGUUGGUCAGGCUGGUCUCAAACUCCCAACCUCAGGUGAUCCGCCCACCUUGGCCUUCCAAAGUGCUGGGAUUACAGGCGUGAGCCACUGAGCCCCACCUGUUUAACAUUUUUUAAUUUUUUUUUUUAAUUAUAGAGAUGGGGUCUCACUAUGUUGCCCAGGCUGGUCUCAAACCCCUGGGCUCAAGUGAUCCUCCCGCCUCAGCCUCCCAAAGUGCUGGGACUAUAGGCAUGAGUCACUGCACCUGGCCUCUUUUUAUACUGACCAGGUUUGUGUUACUCCACUCUAUUUCCUUCAACAACAAUUUCCCAAUUUAUCAAGGUAAUUUUCAAAUUUAUACUGGUUCUUAGUCCAGAGAAUUAGCAACUCCAACUAAUUAAGUAACAUCUGCAGUUUCAGUCAGUAUAUUUCCAUUAUCUUCAUUCCUUUUAUGGAAACUUAAAAAUUUCAACUUCAGGCUGGGCAUGGUGGCUCAUGCCUGUAAUCCCAGCACUUUGGGAAGCCAAGGCGGGAAAAUCACUUGAGCUUAGGAGUUUGAGACCAGCCUGGGCAAUAUAUCGAGACCUUGUCUCUACAACAGCAACAACAACAAUAAAAAUUAAAAGUUUAAACUUCAAAUUCUGACUGUUAGACGCAAUAAGCGCUAACAUUGUAUUCCAGGCAUUAUUGUAAGCAUGUUAUAUGCCUUAACUCCUUUGCUACUCUCUGUGGCCCUAAAAAGUAGAUACACUUGUUCCUUCCACUGUUAGAUGAUAGAGGCACAGAGUGGUUGUAUAACUUGCUUAAGGUCACGCAGCUAGACAUUUGGCCCCACAUCUUUACAAGUAGCUUUAGAUUCAAAAAAUAUUCUAUGUGCAUCUUGUUUCCAAUUCUCUUUUCAAUAAAUAAUCCCUUUCCAAUCAAGAAUUUUAGGGAAAAAUUGGACCAUUUUUCUAAUGUUAUUUAUCCAUUUUCCUGCUAAUAG
Molecule: long non-coding RNA, 7384 nt
Filed under: Homo sapiens (human)
Lineage: Eukaryota; Metazoa; Chordata; Mammalia; Primates; Hominidae
Description: non-protein coding BASP1-AS1:24
Source: RNAcentral